CCAGCCAACAUGGACGCUUGUUACGGCGGUACGUCGCGGUCGAGGACCCGUUAGAAACGACCUUGUUCAACGGCGAUUUGCGACAAGACGCGUAUUCGUUGCCUAAUUCUGAUCGGCUAACCUGUGGUUGCGUGAAGUCGAAGAAUAUGCCACCAUAAGUUUGCGCAAGGUGUUGUUAACCUCACUGCUUCGAGUCACCAUUGUGUCGGAGCUUUCCCGCCAAGCUGACCAGCGAACAAGUUUUGUGGAUUUCGGUAUCAGGUAGCAAACAGAAGUGCCCCGACGAGCUGUGCAGGGCUGGCCACGCGGUGAGCCAAGCAUCCCAUAAGAGGUGCUUCUUCAGCAUCUGUGGCUAACUCAAAGGAAUCACCUACAAAAAGCAGUGAUACAAGAAUGUGAGCCACAAGUUCUUUUCAACGAAUGGAUCAGGUGCCUGAGAGCCACGGGCCGGCUGCUUCUGGCCUACACAGACAGUGCAGCCACCACAGUAAAACUCUUGCAAAGACAUUCUACAAAAACUGGCCCAAACGCGGACGGAAGGCAGUACAGAUGGACACACAGGCUGCUUCAGAAACUGUGACUGAGCAUUAACCUACAUACAAAAAAGGAGCCAAGUGGAGCUGUUCAUGGGCCAUGCACACAGUUUCAUAAGCGGAUUUUCAGCACUUUUGACAAU
Molecule: long non-coding RNA, 676 nt
Organism: Rhipicephalus microplus (southern cattle tick)
Lineage: Eukaryota; Metazoa; Arthropoda; Arachnida; Ixodida; Ixodidae
Source: RefSeq, a predicted model, not a curated record